UAAAAGACUGGGAAAGUUGGUGAAUACUCAAAGAACACGUAAUUGGAAACAGGUGAGUGUCAUGAUUGGGUAUAAAAGGAGCGUCCCCAAAAGGAUCAGCCGUUCACAAAGAAAGAUGUGGCGCGGAUCACCACUUUGUGAACAACUGCAUGAAAAAAUAAGCAUCAAUGUGUAAAAA
Molecule: long non-coding RNA, 178 nt
Organism: Thalassophryne amazonica
Lineage: Eukaryota; Metazoa; Chordata; Actinopteri; Batrachoidiformes; Batrachoididae
Exons: 3
Source: RefSeq, a predicted model, not a curated record